This 666-nucleotide ribosomal RNA is filed under the name Curtobacterium oceanosedimentum. RNAcentral describes it as "bacterial SSU rRNA". It matches the Rfam family "Bacterial small subunit ribosomal RNA", at positions 116 to 795 of the family's 1533-position model. The record is from RNAcentral. Lineage: Bacteria; Bacillati; Actinomycetota; Actinomycetes; Micrococcales; Microbacteriaceae.
CGUGAGUAACCUGCCCCUGACUCUGGGAUAAGCGUUGGAAACGACGUCUAAUACUGGAUAUGAUCACUGGCCGCAUGGUCUGGUGGUGGAAAGAUUUUUUGGUUGGGGAUGGACUCGCGGCCUAUCAGCUUGUUGGUGAGGUAAUGGCUCACCAAGGCGACGACGGGUAGCCGGCCUGAGAGGGUGACCGGCCACACUGGGACUGAGACACGGCCCAGACUCCUACGGGAGGCAGCAGUGGGGAAUAUUGCACAAUGGGCGAAAGCCUGAUGCAGCAACGCCGCGUGAGGGAUGACGGCCUUCGGGUUGUAAACCUCUUUUAGUAGGGAAGAAGCGAAAGUGACGGUACCUGCAGAAAAAGCACCGGCUAACUACGUGCCAGCAGCCGCGGUAAUACGUAGGGUGCAAGCGUUGUCCGGAAUUAUUGGGCGUAAAGAGCUCGUAGGCGGUUUGUCGCGUCUGCUGUGAAAUCCCGAGGCUCAACCUCGGGCUUGCAGUGGGUACGGGCAGACUAGAGUGCGGUAGGGGAGAUUGGAAUUCCUGGUGUAGCGGUGGAAUGCGCAGAUAUCACGAGGAACACCGAUGGCGAAGGCAGAUCUCUGGGCCGUAACUGACGCUGAGGAGCGAAAGCGUGGGGAGCGAACAGGAUUAGAUACCCUGGUAGUC